GAUUAACGCUGGCGGCGUGCAUAACACAUGCAAGUCGAACGAUGAAACUUAACUGAUUUCUUCGGAAUGAUUUUAAGUGGUUUAGUUGCGGACGGGUGAGUAACGCGUGAGUAACCUGCCUUGGUGAAGGGGAUAGCCUUUUGAAACGAAUAAUAAUACCCUAUGAUAUUAUAAUAUCUCAUGAUAUUAUCUUCAAAGAUUUAUCGCUCUAAGAUGGACUUGAUUCUGAUUAGUUAGUUGGUGAGGUAACAGCUCACCAAGGCAGCGAUCAGUAGCCGGAUGGAGAGAGUGAAAGGCAAAAGUGGGAGUGAGACACGGCGCAGACUCCUAAGGGAGGAAGCAGAGGGGAAAUAAGAAAAAGGGGGGAAAACAAGAAGAAGAGAGGCAGGGAGAUUUAGAAGGCCUUAGGGUUGUAAAAAACUUUUGUAUGGGAAGAAAAUGACAGUAACAAACGAAUAAGGACCGGCUAAUUACGUG
RNAcentral lists this ribosomal RNA (477 nucleotides) under uncultured bacterium. RNAcentral describes it as "partial 16S ribosomal RNA". It matches the Rfam family "Bacterial small subunit ribosomal RNA", at positions 28 to 507 of the family's 1533-position model. The record is from RNAcentral.